This 1348-nucleotide long non-coding RNA is filed under the name Theobroma cacao (cacao). Its description in RNAcentral is "long non-coding RNA (TCAC_LNC005413)". Lineage: Eukaryota; Viridiplantae; Streptophyta; Magnoliopsida; Malvales; Malvaceae. The record is from RNAcentral.
AAAUCAGCCCAUUUCUCCCAUAGUGAUCAGCCAAACCAGAAAAGAAGAGAAACCAAGGAAGAACAAACCCUAGGUGGGAAAAAUCAAAGAGAAAGUGUUAGAAUUCAAGGAUUUGAUCAAGCAAAGGUAAAAUUUCUUGAUUUUGACUUGUGAUCUACCUUUUCCAUGCAUUUCUCCUCAUUUUUCAUGGUUAAAUUACAUGUUUUCAUGAUGAAUUCAUGGCUGGUUGGAAUGGGUAUGGAGAGAGAGUGAUGUUAGAUUGAUUUGAUUUUAAGUUAUGUUAGUGUUUUUAGUUAGUUAAGCAUGUUUAGAAACAAAACAACAAGAAAAGAAUCCAGUUUUCCCAUGAACCUUCAAUGGUCGAACCCUAUGUGAAGUGUAAAAGUAAUGAAUUGAUUUUGUGAUCAAGUGAAUUGGCUGAAAAAUUGAUGAAAUGAUGAUUUAUGGUGAGAAAAUGGAAUAGGAAAACUUUUAGUGAUAAUGCACCACAAUGGCCAAAAUUUUCAAGAAGAAUUGUGAGGGUUGUUAGGCUGAAUUUUAGAUUAUUGAAAUUUUAUUUAGUGAAUUGAAAUAUUAGAAAUGAAAUGGAGCAAUUUGGAGUCAAAUCAGACACAAUUGUCAUUUAAUCGGGUAAUAGGCCAAAUUAGGUUAGCACCGCAUUUAAGCGGUAGUCGAAUAAGUUGCAUAUCAUAUCAUGCAUAUACACCGAGCCUGAAUUGAUUUUAUAAUGGUCAAGCAUUGAUGUGGUGAAUUAUGUAUUGUACAUUGUGGAUAGGUGGUGAGAAAAUUACACUGGUAAAAGUACAGAGAUUGUGCUUGGAAAUGGGGAUUAGGAGUACAUCGACUCUUAGAACUGUGAGUAAACUUAUUAUCGUCUUAAUUAUCUAGAGUAGUUUUAUACAAUUUUGUGAUUUUAUAGAAAAUGGGUUUAAAUGGUAAAUUGCUAUGUUUUAGGAGAAAUUGUGAUUUUAUAAAAUGAUUUUAUAAAUUUUCUGGAAAAUUGAAUACUGGUUUUGAAAAUAGAGUAAUUGGAGACUGCCUGUUUGUGUUAUAAAUUGUGUUUUAAAUUAUAUGGCUUAUAGCAAUAUGUGAGCAUGAAUGGCAAAGUCGGUAUUUGUAUCAAAAUUAUAUAUACUACAUAUUCAGCCUUGAGAGGCUAGAUUGCAAUAAAUUGCCAUGUCAUGCAGAUAAAGAUUUUAUAAAUCAGGUGGUAGAUAAAAUAAUCCAUAGUCACUGCAAUGGUGGGGGUUUUCGUGGACUGCCUAUGAGAAAGGCAUGGUAACCCAAUUAUAUAUUUACCUUCAGGGGGAGAUGUUGGAUGAAGUAUCUCCUGAGGUAAAGAUUUGCG